UAAUACGGGGGGAGCAAGCGUUGUUCGGAAUUACUGGGCGUAAAGGGCGCGUAGGCGGCUGGGUCAGUCGCGUGUGAAAGGCCGGGGCUCAACCCCGAGCAUUGCACGCGAUACUGCCUGGCUCGAGAGAGGUAGGGGCGAGUGGAAUUCCCGGUGUAGCGGUGGAAUGCGUAGAUAUCGGGAAGAACACCUGUGGCGAAGGCGGCUCGCUGGACCUUUUCUGACGCUGAAGCGCGAAAGCGUGGGGAGCAAACAGGAUUAGAUACCCUGGUAGUCCACGCCGUAAACGAUGGGUACUAGGUGUUGGGAGGAUUGACCCUUUCAGUGCCGGCGCUAACGCAUUAAGUACCCCGCCUGGGGAGUACGGUCGCAAGGCUG
RNAcentral lists this ribosomal RNA (378 nucleotides) under uncultured Gemmatimonadota bacterium. Its description in RNAcentral is "bacterial SSU rRNA". It matches the Rfam family "Bacterial small subunit ribosomal RNA", at positions 521 to 896 of the family's 1533-position model. The record is from RNAcentral. Lineage: Bacteria; Pseudomonadati; Gemmatimonadota.